This is an RNA transcript of Biomphalaria glabrata, 4533 nucleotides long. RefSeq lists it as uncharacterized. The record is from RefSeq and is a predicted model, not a curated record. The transcript has 5 exons. NCBI's taxonomy places the organism in Eukaryota, Metazoa, Mollusca, Gastropoda, Planorbidae.
GUUUACACGUCUCCAGUGAGUUACGAUCUAGAUCACAUAGAAAUGUCUCGUCGAGUGGCAGAAACUGAUCGCAAUGGAAUACAUAUUUUAUUGAGAUAUAAUGGAGAGGAUUAUGAAUAUCUUCUUCAAGAGUCACACUUCAGUUCUUCUACUUUUAAAGUUAAAGAUCUCAUAUCAAAGAUUCUUAAUGAAUUAGAGGAAUCACAGUUGAACCAUAUUUUGGUUAUUAAAAAAGAGGAUAACACUGAGCUAGUAAUGAAUGGUGAAAGCCUCUUGUCACUUUAUCAUGAAACUUUACAAGAGUCUGUUUAUGUGGAGAUCAGAUCGCAAACUAUUAACAGUGGUACAUCUAGUUGAUUAUCUCAAGGUUUCAUGAGAGGACAGAUGUUGUUGUUUUUAUUACCAGCAUCUAGCUUCCCAUUGGUUCUCAACCUUUUAAGAAUAAGCAAAUGAUAUUGGUCCUCUUACAGCCAAAAGGAACACUUACAGAUAAAAGCAUUCUGCAUUCAUUGGAGGGACAUGUAGACUUUUCAUAUUGCCUUUUUUAUUUACCCUGCUUGGCGAUCUUUUACAUUAAUACUUUGUUUUUUUUGUCUGAUAAAUGGUAUUAUUGAUUUCCUAACACAAUGUUUAUGUAUAUCAUAUAAAACAAUGCUUAUACUAAAGAUCACUCUCUUACGUCUCAAGAAAUGAGUUUAAUCAAGCCUGUAGCUUUUAGGUUUGCUGCAUGAAAGUAAGUUCUUUGACCAUUUUCUAAGCAGCACUAAAGUCUGCGUUUUGAGAACCUAAGUUUAUGCCAAAAAAGCUUCAUUGGUGCUGAUGCAUCUUUCUGUCUGAUUGAUUCUCCUUUCAUAAUGGGUCCAUUUAAGCUUUUAAACUUGGUUUAGUCACUUUCUCAUAUAGACAUAUUGAAAUAUAUGAUUGAUUUAUAAAAUAUUCUGCAUUGGUGUUAGCACAAAACAUUUUAUUUAGAAGUGAGUUAUAUGGGACAAUCCAUCUGUUGUCUUCAUUUCUUGCCAAGUAUUUUUGUUGGAUUGUGUAAUAUUUGCUGUGUAUUCACUAUCUCUCAAUUUUCUCUCUUUUUUAUUUUACAAUAGAAAUCCAUGUUUACUUAUUUGUGUUUUUUUAUCUGUCUUUUGGAUUUUUUGGGAACAUCUUCCUUAAAUCAUAUAUGGUGAGUUAUUGUUGAGAUCUUCACAUGGGCCAUAGAUUGAAACCAAUCAUUAUAGAUGGACUGAACACUGACCUGCCAUGUAAUAAAAAGUCCUUUUAAAUCACUUUGUUGUUCAUGAGUGCAUGACAAAUUUGAAGCAUUCCUUAUCCCAUCAAGCCAACUUUGUUGAGUUCAGAUGUUUUUAUCUAGCCUUAUACACUGCCUUAUUUAAAGUCAUCCAUUUUGCAAGAUGCAUUUUGCUUUUCCGAUUCUUGGAAGUGUUAAUCAAACAUUCUCUUUUAGCUUGAAGUCUAGAAGCUCUUUUCUUUCUUACUAACACAAGGUAUUUUUGUCCAUUUAUCAUCAGUAGUAGCAUGCCACAUUUACAGAGUAGUAAAAUAUGAGAAUAAUACAAAUUAUCAAAAUAGUAAAAAAUUUCCUGUAUUUAUAUCAAAAAUUGUGUUAAAUGUACAUCAGUGCUUUUAAGCAAAGCAUUUUUAAUCAUUUUUCUUUUCUUAAGUGAAAGUAGCACUUUUAUUUGUAGACAUUAGAAACCUUUUCUAGAAUUCCAAUUCUUUUAAGACUGUUUUAGUAUUUUUGUGUUAGUGUUCAAAUGAAGCUGGCAGCAAAGAAAUAAAUGACUUUCAAAUAGGGAAGCUAACUUAAUUCAUGUAUAUUUCAGAUCUCUUUUAUAUGUUAAUGAUAAUAAUAAUAUGUAAACAAUAUGUUGUGAUGAUUACUGGUUUGUCUGGUAUUCCUGAUAUUCAGAUUAGCUGGUUUAAAUCUGUAUCAUAUCCUUUUGUUUUUUUAAUUAUAAAUACACUUUCAAAUUUAUAUGAAUACUUUUUAUUUCCAUGUUUUUGUAUGAAAAAAUAAAUUAUAUUGCAAAUGAAUGUUGUUUGCAAUAGUAUUAUAAUUUUUAAAUUAUACUUUUAAUAGACAUAGUUUUUGAAGUGUCUUUCAGGGAAUUACACUUUUCAAUUUAUGCUCAAUUUUACUUCAUGUUGUUAAUUUUAUGUUAAUUACUUUUGUAUGGCGUAUCUAUCAUGCUAUGUCAUGCUCAGUGCACUCUGGUCCAAUCUCUUUUCUGGAGUUUAAUUUGCUGCCUUAAGACGCUCAGCAAACACAACUCAGCCCAAGCCAGGAUUUAAACUUAAGCCCCUUAGCUAGCUGUGUGUAUGUUUAUAUGGUGAUGGUAGGAAGAUGUUAGCCAUUGGAAUAGUUGUCGUUUGGUCUUAGGACACACGACUCCAGAAUGAAAGGUUGUGUUAUUGUAGUGAGUUAGAUUUUGUUAAUAUUAUUCCCAAAGUCUACUACAUGUAUUUCAUUUAUCACAAGUUGAUUUUGUCUAUAUUAUAAAUAAUGUGUUAUUUAGUUUGUUCACAAAAGAAGUUAUUCAAGUUAUUUGAAGUUUUAUUUGUUAAGAUACAUUACGCCUACAACGGUUUAGUUGUCUACCAGCAGUUUGAUGCUACAAGUCAACAACCAGUAAAAAUACUAGCCAAUCAGUUUAUGCCUCCCAAUAUUAACUUGACUCAAUGUUUAAGGAAUCAUUAUAUAUCAUCUGGGACUGCAUAGCCACAGGAAAUACUGCAUUCCUCAUUAAUCUUUGGACUUGAAGACAAGCCUUAUUAUUAUAAUGUUCAUUUUUCUAGAACUCUAAGAAUUCAGAAAUGUUGUUCUUAUUGUAUUUAUUAUCCAUUGGAUUUCUUUGAGUACAUGUAAGUUGUAUUUCUAUCCCUAUUUAUCAAAAUAUUGUUAAAAUUUCAAGACAUAUCAAACUCAUGACAUUUAGCAAUAUACUCCCCCUAAUUUGACAACCAUUUUUUCAUCUCUUUUUGUAUUAUUUUUUUUAUCAAUAUUUAAAGCUCAAUACCAGUAUUGUUGUGUUUAAAAAAUGAGAAUUAUGAGUUUUUGUGUAUGAAUAUAUCUUGCACAAUGAUUGUUUUAUGAAAACAAUGUAGCCUACAUAUCAUUUUAAGUUAACAUGUAAAAUAAAAAGCAAUUUAGAAAUCGGUUUGAAUUAUCUGUAAACCUUAUCUAGACUCUUGUAAUAAAUUCAGUGGAAUCCAUAAAAUUUGAAACUCUUCUUAAUUCAAAUUCAUUUUUUUCAAACUCUUUGUUCUUUUUGAAUAAAAAGUGGUUUAGCUGUGAAGUCAAUUAUGCCCAUUUCUGAUAAAACAAAACAUUUAAAUUGUGUGAUUUGCUACCACCCAUUACAAGACAGCAUUCGAUCUUUCAGUCUAUUUCCUAGCAUUCCAUUAGUGUGUGUGCAUGGUGUAAGGUACAUCAUGUUCAGGCCCAGUGUUGGGAUCACUAUUACAUGCUGUAUAGCUGUUUUCUAAGUUCUAAACAGAAUGACAUCAUCAAUGUAAGUCCAAAUUCCUUAAAGAGAAAAUACUUAUCUUUGACUAUUGAAACAAAAAUAAAAGUCAUUACUUAAGGAUGUCAAAAAAUCAAGUGUACAAAUCGACUAAAUAAUUUCUUAUUGCAAACCGCAAGUACCUGUACAAGUUGUAGUCAUUUUCAUUUUUAAAAUAUAUUUUAAAAAUAGUAUUACAUUAUUUUUUUCUUAUUAUGUAAUUGCUUUAUGUUGAUUUUGGGCUUGAAAUGUAGCAGACUAAAUUCUAGUAGAGAAAUGUAUUUGUAAUAAUUAUUACUAUGCUAUGCAUUUAUGUUGCCCUACUCAAAAUUAAAUAUCAAUAUCACACUACAGUAGAUCCCUGGACACAUUGGCAUCAUGGGAAAUGAAAAGGCAGAUAAGCUAUCAAAGGCAAGUUCAUCUAUGGAACAACCAGACAGACCUGUAAGCCACUUCACCCUAAGGUCAAUGUUAAUCAACAAUCACAAAGAGGAGUGGCUCAACCAAUGGGCACCAGGAAACACAGGCAGAGCCAAAAUAAACUCCACACAACUUCCCCCUUUGCAGACACUGCGCCCACCCUUAUGAAACCUUAAACUAUAUCCUCUUUGAAUGCCCCUCCCUAACCCACCUUAGGCAGACCCUACGUCCACUCCAGCCCAACAUAACCAACACCCUGUACGGCAGUGCUGAACAACUGAAGAAAAUGGCAAACUAUUUUUCCUUGGCACAGUCUGCAAAAGAGCUGACAGCUCAGCAGCAAUAAAGCUGGCUAGAAGAAGAAGAAGUGGCCGGUGCCCUACACUUGAUUUUUUGACAUCCAUAAGUAAUGACUUUUAUUUUGUUUCAAUAGUCAAAGAUACUGUUUACAUUUGGGGGGGUAUUUUGUGACUUAUGUAUAAAUCUUUUAUUUGCAUAAUGUUAUUUGCUAAUAUUUAAUUUGUACCAUUAGCUUCAAUUUUAUAUUCUUCUGAUUUUGCAAAGUUUAUUUUAUAAAUUUAUUAUUAUUAUUACAAUG